AAAGAUCCCUUUUUCCUAGGUUCGGGGUCCUUGCUGAAAACCCGCUGUGUCGGGCAGAAACUCAGACCCCAGCCAGCUGGAAAAUAAAAGCCUCUUAUGCAAUUGCAUUGUUGUCAUCUUUUCUGCAUCACCAAUGGUUAGACCGAUCUCAGGACCCUAACAUUUGGGGGAUUGUCUGGGAUAGAUCAACUUGGUGACAGCCAGAUUAGACACAACAGAGAAGGCUUGGCACUUUGUCACGAAAGGAGGAUUGAUCACCUCCGUCUGGGGCUUGCAGGGGGCCUUAGAGCCUGUUCUCAGACUUGUCUUGCUCUGGAAAGGAGAGUUGGCUGCCUCCGUUUGGGACUUGGAGGGGGCCUUAGAGCCUGUUCCUGAACUUACCUGGUUCUGGCAGAGAAUUCUCCGUGGAGGAACCAGCUUAGCCACCCUGGAGGCUCCACUUGAAGUUGAGGGAGACGUCUCCGAUAACCAGGAGCUCAACGAGCAUCUGCAUUGGACACCGUUUGGUCUGGCAUUUGGUCGACAGAAUUGGGCCGUGGAUUCACCAUUCACACGUGCGUCUGAUCUCAUCGCCUAAAUACGUGCAAGCUGAAAAGGAGUGGACUGAGCGUCAACACCUGCACAAUCCCCUGAAACUCCAGUUAUCCAGAUCUUCGGACCAGCCCGUGUUCCCUUCUCAACAGAACAACAGUGGAGAUGCUAGCCUUAAUUCUGUUCAUUAAUUGGAGCACCGCAACGAGUCUACUCCAGCCCUGCAAACAGACAUGGGUGCUCACGGAUGGAGAGACUGGUAACGUUUUAAAUUACACCUCUCGCACCGGCCCACUGGGUACCUGGUGGCCGGACCUUUAUUUUGACUUAAGAGACCUUUUUGAAAAAACUCGUACUAAAAAGCCUUCAUAUCAUAUCUUAAUGAAAAGGGCAUUGACAUUUGAAGACCAGAUCAAAGGGUUCUGGGCCUGUCCAGGUAACCAGAGGGCCAAUUACCGUACUUGUGGGGGAGCCGAAAGCUUCUACUGUAAAGCCUGGUCUUGCGUCACCUCCAAUGACGGUUCCCGUAAGUGGCACACAGGCCGCAACUCUGACCUUGUACAGUUCUCUUUCCGAGACUUAGGAAAUAGAGUUCCCUCAAUUAAAACCUGCUUUACAAAUAACGGCAAAAGCCAGUCGUUACUGAAAUGGCAAAAUCCUGGCUUUACUUGGGGAUUCCAAUAUUAUUCAGGCGGUGCUAUCUGGAUGGGGCCAUAUCCAGGCGGCCUCCUGACAAUUAGACUGUCUAUAGAACCCCUGGCACAGCCCGUAGGCCCAAAUAAAGUUCUACACGUACCCCACCCUUAAGGCCAAUAAUCCAACCAAAGCGAAUGGUGACCCGGUCACCUCCUUGACAAUCCCUAACGCACCCUCCCAUGCCUAUUCCCUACCACAGGAUCCCCGACCUCGAUACUUAGCCCUCUCCUUAUCCAUGUUCAAGCUGCCCUUCUGGCCCUCAAUCAGUCUAGCCCCAGUAUUACCUUCCCAUGCUGGCUAUGUUAUGUCCGUCCUCCUUUCUAUGAAGGUGUAGGGCUUGAUGCCUCCUAUAAUCUUUUUGUAUCUGACACUCCUCCCACUUGCCAGUGGACAGACCGUAAAGUGGGCCUAACUAUACAGCAAGUAAGCAGCCGAGGACUUUGCCUGGGAACUGUCCCUUCUUGUGAAAAACAUCUAUGUACAACUAUUCUCAGCAAUUUCUCCUCAGAUGCAAAUAAUAAAUGGGUACUGCCCCCAUAGGCGGUUGGUGGAUUUGUUCAAAAACUGGGCUUACCCCAUGUCUUUCCCUCUUAGUCUUUGAUGCGGCCCAGGAACAUAGUGUCUUAAUUUUAGUUCUUCCACGAAUCAUAUAUCACCCUGAGGAGGUCAUGUUCCUACAUUGGAAUUCGUUUGAGCCACUUUGCACCAAGAGAGAGCCCUUUACCACUUUGACUACAGCCACCUUGUUUAGCUGGGGAUUAGCAGGGGCAGGAACGGGCUUAGCCUCCCUUACCACCCAAGAUGCAGGGCUUCAGUCUUUCCAACUAACAACUGAGGAAGACCUAGCAAGAAUUGAGGCUGUUAUUAGCCGUUUAGAAAAAUCUCUGACCUCUCUCUCUGAAGUUGAACUACAGAAUAGAAGGGGAUUAGACCUCCUUUUCCUACAACAGGGAGGCCUCUGUGUAGCUCUAGGUAAAAAAUGAUGUUUUUAUGCUGACCACUCUGGAGUAGUCCGAGACUCUGUCUAAAGUCAGAGAAGGUCUAACAAAGAGAGUGAGAGGCUAACGAAAGCUGGUUUGAAGUUUGUUUUAACAAAUCCCCUUGGAUGACAACCCUCAUCUCCACCCCGUUAGGCCCCCUACUUAUCUUACUUCAACUCACCUUUGGCCCAUGCAUCAUAGACUGGUACAAUUUAUAAGAGACCAUCUCAGCAUUGUGCAAGCUAUGGUUCUGACACAAAGUUGUGCCCAACGUACCAGUAACAAAAGUACUAUUCUGUACAUUUUUAACAGAUGCUUCUCUGCUUCUGUAAAUCGCUUGGCAAUAGCAAUGAGCGUGAUUCCUCAUUAUGUACAACUCAAAGGGGGAAUGUGAGGGCGAGUUAGCAUAAUUACCGCCAUGUUAGGCCUUCAAGGACGGAGCCUGAGGAGUCUGGGAACUCAUAGAUAAACAGAGUACGGGUGGGCCUAGCAGCGCCAGGACAAGGUCAACCUAACCUUAACUGAGAGUCCUUAUCUAGACUUUAGCAGGUGGUGACAGCUGGACCCUCACUUCACAUACCUCCUCCCUUGUGUGCUGCAUACUAUGGAAAAUUACUGACUGUAUAUCCUGUAUUGCAAUCCUGAGCUAUAAAAGAUCCCUUUUUCCUAGGUUUGAGGUCCUUGCUGAAAACCCGCUGCGUUGGGCAGAAACUCAGACCCCAGCUAGCUGGAAAAUAAAAGCCUCUUAUGUAAUUGCA
Tupaia belangeri chinensis (Chinese tree shrew) is the source of this 2965-nucleotide long non-coding RNA. RefSeq lists it as uncharacterized. Lineage: Eukaryota; Metazoa; Chordata; Mammalia; Scandentia; Tupaiidae. The record is from RefSeq and is a predicted model, not a curated record. The transcript is spliced from 2 exons.